Molecule: small RNA, 548 nt
Filed under: Colletotrichum sp. TL110
Lineage: Eukaryota; Fungi; Ascomycota; Sordariomycetes; Glomerellales; Glomerellaceae
Description: eukaryotic LSU rRNA
Rfam family: 5.8S ribosomal RNA (bases 175-328)
Source: RNAcentral
GGGCUACUGACUACGCUCUAUACCCUUUGUGACAUACCUAUAACUGUUGCUUCGGCGGGUAGGGUCUCCGUGACCCUCCCGGCCUCCCGCCCCCGGGCGGGUCGGCGCCCGCCGGAGGAUAACCAAACUCUGAUUUAACGACGUUUCUUCUGAGUGGUACAAGCAAAUAAUCAAAACUUUUAACAACGGAUCUCUUGGUUCUGGCAUCGAUGAAGAACGCAGCGAAAUGCGAUAAGUAAUGUGAAUUGCAGAAUUCAGUGAAUCAUCGAAUCUUUGAACGCACAUUGCGCCCGCCAGCAUUCUGGCGGGCAUGCCUGUUCGAGCGUCAUUUCAACCCUCAAGCUCUGCUUGGUGUUGGGGCCCUACAGCUGAUGUAGGCCCUCAAAGGUAGUGGCGGACCCUCCCGGAGCCUCCUUUGCGUAGUAACUUUACGUCUCGCACUGGGAUCCGGAGGGACUCUUGCCGUAAAACCCCCAAUUCUCCAAAGGUUGACCUCGGAUCAGGUAGGAAUACCCGCUGAACUUAAGCAUAUCAUAGACCCGGAGGAA